CAACAAGCAGCGAGAAAGGCUACAAAUUACAAACCUGACAGGCAGUAGAUGAGGAGGAAAGGAACGAGUGGCUGAAAGGAGGCUUCCAAAGAAAGACCCUCUUCUUUGAGUGUGACCCAGUGUGGAAGCCCGUUACCUUGCAUCAAAACGGACAUGCAUGAGUGCGGCACAUGUACCAAGGCAGACAAGGGAGAAGACCUUACCUUCUGACCGCAACAGGCCAAGCACCUCGCGCCUGUCUGUACGAACACACGGCUUGACCUCUGGCGGACGGGUAAGGGUGGUAGGUGCGUGAGCGUAUGCCAAAAGGCUAACUGUAGACCUCAGAGGUCACUAACCUUUGCCUAAAGGAGAGAAAAUGAGGUGACCCGUGGCGCUCCUGCCCCCAACCCCAAUCUCUCGGGCCACGUUACACGUCUGAGGUUACAGCUGCCCCAUAGAGGGGCAGGAGGCAGGGCAUGUCUACCCUCAGUCUUCUGAUGGAUGGGUGAGUACUCUCCAGCCAGGAAGCGAGCGAUCUGUCCCGACGGAAGAACAGCAAGAAGCGUUAGUCCAAGGUAACAGAAACAAGUGGCGUGGCUUUCCGUGGUCUUCAUUUAGUAGGAAACGUGUGCGGGAAGGAAAUGUUGCACACCUCUAUUUCUUGCCACCCAUCUCUGUCUGUGUGACUAUGUAUCUGUGAGAGCGUGUAUGUGUUCAAAUGAGAAGAGAAAGAGUGAGAAAGAAACGAAGAGGAAGUCAGACGUUCUUUGUGUUUAUUGUAUCUUUAAAGCUGAGUUAACACUCAUUAGCGAGCCAGAUGCGCCGAGCGGGAGAGAAAUGUCAUUAGCAGGCGGCGGGAUCCGAACCUGUCACAUAUUGUUGUUCACUGCUUCCUUGGUGACGAGAGCGUCACCUCUGAGCCACCAGGUAGCCAGCACGGGACUCCAGAACUUCUACGAGACAGUGACUGCCACGUGGUCUCGAUGUAAACAGCGAUGACUGUGUUGCGCAGAGCGACCCUAACGGCAGAGUUUGUGACUUGGUCCAGUAAAUCGCAAAGUAAUAAAUUGUAAUGAAGUGUAAUAAAGUGUGCACUAUUAUUAUGACAUGUUUGAAUGUGUAUAUAUUAUCUUUACUUUGUUUCUUGUGCUUGUCACAUUUUAUUUCUUUAUGAACACUGGCUGCCUUGGCGAGAUAUCGCCUUAGUUGCUGGCUCGGCGUAAAACACCCAUUCCCCCUACCCCUGUACCUGCAGCUGCACGUGCACUAGCUCUCAUCACUAAGUUCGUUUGUUCGGUUACCUAAACAAUUACACUUUGCACAGAUUAUGAACCAAAUGACAAUGAGUAUAUUUUCCAGGAAAUGGCUCAACCUACUAAAACAAUCCAGUCUACGAUCCCUCCUUGCUGUGUAUGUAAUGUACACAAUCCUGAACCCGAUGUGUAGCAGACGACAUUUUUCAGUGUCAAUAUUCCUAGAAAUAAUAAUUAUGUCUAUAAAGUAAGGACUGUAAAAAUUAUCAAGUACUGACCUCGCUUCAUCAGUUGUAAAUCGGAAAAGGAUUUACCAGGACAUGUGUAAGUAAUCAGUACAAUUAAUCGCACAACAUCAGGUUCCCCAUGUCGACACUUUA
This is a long non-coding RNA of Pomacea canaliculata, 1615 nucleotides long. RefSeq lists it as uncharacterized. Lineage: Eukaryota; Metazoa; Mollusca; Gastropoda; Architaenioglossa; Ampullariidae. The transcript has 3 exons. The record is from RefSeq and is a predicted model, not a curated record.